GAAACAUCUCAGUUAGCAUGUCAAGAGACGUCUGAGUCACUGAUGCAACAACCUGAACAAAUUCGAACUCAAUCGAGAGAGCUGCCAAGAUUAUGCUGACCUAUUCUUGAUCAAAUACCAUGUUACCUACAGCAAUCAAACUGUCACACAUAUUCUUUAUCUUCAAAAGAUAUUUUUUAUAGAGUUCGUGAAGCCAGUGGUCGCUUACUAAGAAAAAAACUAAGCAGCUCAAUUUCCAUUUCGAAGACUCUUCGUUUAAACCAG
Molecule: long non-coding RNA, 264 nt
Organism: Gossypium arboreum
Lineage: Eukaryota; Viridiplantae; Streptophyta; Magnoliopsida; Malvales; Malvaceae
Exons: 2
Source: RefSeq, a predicted model, not a curated record